This 436-nucleotide ribosomal RNA is filed under the name uncultured bacterium. Its description in RNAcentral is "bacterial SSU rRNA". It matches the Rfam family "Bacterial small subunit ribosomal RNA", at positions 29 to 512 of the family's 1533-position model. The record is from RNAcentral.
AACGAACGCUGGCGGCAGGCCUAACACAUGCAAGUCGAACGCCCCUUCGGGGGAGUGGCAGACGGGUGAGUAACGCGUGGGAACCUUCCCUUCGGUACGGAAUAGCUCCGGGAAACUGGAAUUAAUACCGUAUACGUCCUCCGGGAGAAAGAUUUAUCGCCGAAGGAUGGGCCCGCGUCGGAUUAGCUAGUUGGUAGGGUAACGGCCUACCAAGGCAACGAUCCGUAGCUGGUCUUAGAGGAUGAUCAGCCACACUGGGACUGAGACACGGCCCAGACUCCUACGGGAGGCAGCAGUGGGGAAUAUUGGACAAUGGGCGAAAGCCUGAUCCAGCCAUGCCGCGUGAGUGACGAAGGCCUUAGGGUUGUAAAACUCUUUUGGCAGGGACGAUAAUGACGGUACCUGCAGAAUAAGCCCCGGCUAACUCCGUGCCAAC